This 448-nucleotide ribosomal RNA is filed under the name uncultured bacterium. RNAcentral's name for it is "bacterial SSU rRNA". It matches the Rfam family "Bacterial small subunit ribosomal RNA", at positions 355 to 796 of the family's 1533-position model. The record is from RNAcentral.
UCGAGAAUUUUUCUCAAUGGGGGAAACCCUGAAGGAGCGACGCCGCGUGGAGGAUGAAUGGCUUCGGCUUGUAAACUCCUGUCAUUUGGGAACAAGGCGUGCGCAGUAACUAUGCGCACGUUGAUAGUACCAGAAGAGGAAGAGACGGCUAACUCUGUGCCAGCAGCCGCGGUAAUACAGAGGUCUCGAGCGUUGUUCGGAUUCAUUGGGCGUAAAGGGUGCGUAGGUGGCACCGUAAGUCGGGUGUGAAAUCCCGGGGCUUAACCCCGGGACUGCAUUCGAUACUGCGGUGCUUGAGGACUGGAGAGGAGACUGGAAUUCAUGGUGUAGCAGUGAAAUGCGUAGAGAUCAUGAGGAAGACCAGUGGCGAAGGCGGGUCUCUGGACAGUUCCUGACACUGAGGCACGAAGGCCAGGGGAGCAAACGGGAUUAGAUACCCGCGUAGUCC